AAGGCUAUGCUUUUAGGGAUCAUUUCUCUAGAUGGUGAUUGGGGAAGGGUGAUUGUCAAAACUUGGCCUUGCUAACCACGAUGAAGACCUGUAGUGUUUUUUUCUGAGCAUGACAAUGGUUGAGAGUACUGUUUUGUGGCAGCUGCUUUCUGCUGUCGAAGAGUGUUUUGCUUUUCUUGGGAAGAGCAGGGGAAAUAAACAGUCUGAGUGGU
Gopherus flavomarginatus (Mexican gopher tortoise) is the source of this 212-nucleotide small nucleolar RNA. RefSeq annotates it as small nucleolar RNA U3. The record is from RefSeq and is a predicted model, not a curated record. Lineage: Eukaryota; Metazoa; Chordata; Testudines; Testudinidae. The transcript has a single exon.